Molecule: ribosomal RNA, 274 nt
Filed under: uncultured bacterium
Lineage: Bacteria
Description: partial 16S ribosomal RNA
Rfam family: Bacterial small subunit ribosomal RNA
Source: RNAcentral
AUACGGAGGGGGUUAGCGUUGUUCGGAAUUACUGGGCGUAAAGCGCACGUAGGCGGACCGGAAAGUAAGAGGUGAAAUCCCAGGGCUCAACCCAGGAACUGCCUUUUAAACUAUCGGUCUAGAGUUCGAGAGAGGUGAGUGGAAUUCCUAGUGUAGAGGUGAAAUUCGUAGAUAUUAGGAGGAACACCAGUGGCGAAGGCGGCUCACUGGCUCGAUACUGACGCUGAGGUGCGAAAGCGUGGGGAGCAAACAGGAUUAGAAACCCUAGUAGUCC